Molecule: non-coding RNA, 972 nt
Organism: Misgurnus anguillicaudatus (oriental weatherfish)
Lineage: Eukaryota; Metazoa; Chordata; Actinopteri; Cypriniformes; Cobitidae
Source: RefSeq, a predicted model, not a curated record
UUCAAUAUUGAAACAGAAGCUUCAACACAGAUCAUCACAGAAGUGGAAACAGUGAUUAAGCCACACAGCUUUAUUAUCCAGCUAUGUAGCUCUGGCAAGAAACUGAUGACAAGAAGAUGAGAAUACUGAUAUCUGACUGCAUACUUACAGUACAGAUUAAUGUGUUUGAUGUGAAUGCAUUCCCUUGCAUAUCACUUGUAAUAAAGUUUUUGAUUGCUUUUAUUGACUGAAGAUUAGCACUUUAUUUAGUUUUUUAUUUUAUUAUCACUUUCAUAUUAAAUUUUAGUUUUUAUGCACUGUUAUCAAGUUUGUUUUACAAAGAGAACGCAGCUUUUUCGCCACAAUCUGCAACCGAGAACAUAAAUGUUAAAGAUAAAGAGUGUAUGUCAUCUCAGACAGGAAGUGUUUUGAUGUUAACUGUAUAAGGAAUGGAAUCAGAUGCUAAAUGAUCUUAGAAUACAUGCUAAUGUGUUUGAAUUGUCUGAUUUGUUUGGCUCGAGCAAAUAAAGUUAUUUUUGUUUGGCACUUGAAACCUUAAUUCUUAUUAAGAAAUAAGCAAAGAUUUUUGCCAUAUCCUGUGGUGGCUACUGAGCUGUUGGUUGCUAGAUGAUGCAAAAUCUCCUUUUGCAGCUUUAAAUCAAGCAUGCAUUAUCUGUUUGCAAAGAUUUUAUCUUUGUGAACAGAAAACAGACUUGCAAAAAUGAAAUCAAACCUUAUUAUGAAAUGUGUAUAAUGUUGUGCUGUAAAUGAGAUCCAAUAUUCAUCAAGUAAUAUUUAAGUGACAUGAUGUGAACAUCAUUUUGUGCAGUUAACCUGAAAACCCUUGUGGGUUUGUGAUCAUGCUUUGUUUGUGCUUGUUGAGCCUUUAGUUGCUCAAUUGCAUAAUCUGUAAACAUUAUAGCCUUAUGUCUUUGUGAUCAUGCUUUGUUUGUUUGUGUGUGGUGCAGUUGUAGUAAAGGUCAGGUUGGUCAA